UGAGGAAUAUUGCACAAUGGGGGCAACCCUGACGCAGCAACGCCGCGUGAGUGAGGAAGGUUUUCGGAUUGUAAAGCUCUGUCGAGCGGAAAGAAAUGCUUGGUGGUUAAUACCCAUCAGGCUUGACGGUACCGCUAAAGGAAGCACCGGCUAACUCCGUGCCAGCAGCCGCGGUAAUACGGAGGGUGCAAGCGUUGUUCGGAAUCACUGGGCGUAAAGGGCGCGCAGGCGGUUUGAUAAGUCAGAUGUGAAAGCCCAUGGCUUAACUGUGGAAGUGCAUUUGAAACUGUCAGACUUGAGUAUCAGAGGGGAAAGUGGAAUUCCCGGUGUAGAGGUGAAAUUCGUAGAUAUCGGGAGGAAUACCGGUGGCGAAGGCGACUUUCUGGCCCUAUACUGACGCUGAGACGCGAGAGCGUGGGUAGCAAACA
This 428-nucleotide ribosomal RNA is filed under the name uncultured prokaryote. Its description in RNAcentral is "bacterial SSU rRNA". It matches the Rfam family "Bacterial small subunit ribosomal RNA", at positions 355 to 774 of the family's 1533-position model. The record is from RNAcentral.